This is a long non-coding RNA of Ananas comosus (pineapple), 514 nucleotides long. RefSeq lists it as uncharacterized. The transcript is spliced from 3 exons. NCBI's taxonomy places the organism in Eukaryota, Viridiplantae, Streptophyta, Magnoliopsida, Poales, Bromeliaceae. The record is from RefSeq and is a predicted model, not a curated record.
GCCUUUGAGGUGAGUGUUCCGUUGCAUUGCUUCAAGUAUUGUCAUUUCGAGCUUGGUGCUGAUUUGCAGAAUUUCCAGCGUCGACCGUCGGUAUUUCAGUACGUACUCGGCGUAGGAGCGUCGGUUUUCGACGGAACUUGGUUUGUUGGAUUCAGGACUUCGAGAGGAAUCCAUGAAGCCCUUACUUACUGGAUUUGAGUUUGGCAGGAGUUUGACUUCGGGCCUUGGGAGGUUUUCAGACGUUUUGGUAGGUUGUUCCGCAGCCGAGGGGAGUUCCGUGCUGCCAGGGAUUAGCGAGCGAGAGCCACAGGUUUCGGCUGCUGCUCCUUCCGCGGAUCAGGAUUGAGGCAAGGGCGUCGCAAGUUAGAGCCCAACCCGACGAGCUGAGCUAGAGGCAUCCCUACUGCAGGUAGAUGUUUUGUUUCGAGUUUAUGUACAUAGCAUUCUUAACUCGCCAGUGCGAGUAGCUCUGUAUUUUGGAUUUGGUCUAUGUAUUUGAAACUCGGUUUGUUUA